Vidua macroura (Pin-tailed whydah) is the source of this 403-nucleotide long non-coding RNA. RefSeq lists it as uncharacterized. Lineage: Eukaryota; Metazoa; Chordata; Aves; Passeriformes; Viduidae. The record is from RefSeq and is a predicted model, not a curated record. The transcript has 3 exons.
UGCUCACUUGCAUUAUAAAACCACAAAAAAAGAGAUGACUAAUACGGCCAGUCAAAUCUGAUAAUGCAGGACACAGGAGGAUAUAAAUAAAUAACUCUCAGCACUGGGAAGGUGUGGCAACCCUUUAUACCCUGUCUAACAGGGUGGAGGGAAUAGAUUUUCAUAAUUCAUGAUAAAUUGCACUAAUCUGAACCUAAAUCACAUCAACACUGACAGAGGAAAUGUGGGUGAAUUUUUGAGUAAGAGACAUAAAUGCUCUUUGCAUUGCUCCAGUCAGUGGGAAAUGCUUGACCAAUGCUCUGCUGGUGGUGGACUGGACUGGACAUGUAAACACAGGCAUUAGAGGGAACCAACUCACAAGCAAGCAACAGGAACAAAUCAAACCUGCUCUACAAGGAUUUUG